AGCGAACGCUGGCGACAGGCUUAACACAUGCAAGUCGAGCGGGCACUUUCGGGUGUCAGCGGCGGACGGGUGCGUAACGCGUGGGAACGUGCCCUCUGGUUCGGAAUAACUCAGGGAAACUUGAGCUAAUACCGGAUACGCCCUUUUGGGGAAAGGCUUGCUGCCGGAGGAUCGGCCCGCGUCUGAUUAGCUAGUUGGUGAGGUAACGGCUCACCAAGGCGACGAUCAGUAGCUGGUCUGAGAGGAUGAUCAGCCACACUGGGACUGAGACACGGCCCAGACUCCUCCGGGAGGCAGCAGUGGGGAAUAUUGGACAAUGGGCGCAAGCCUGAUCCAGCCAUGCCGCGUGAGUGAUGAAGGCCUUAGGGUUGUAAAGCUCUUUUAUCCGGGACGAUAAUGACGGUACCGGAGGAAUAAGCCCCGGCUAACUUCGU
Molecule: ribosomal RNA, 434 nt
Filed under: uncultured bacterium
Lineage: Bacteria
Description: partial 16S ribosomal RNA
Rfam family: Bacterial small subunit ribosomal RNA
Source: RNAcentral